This 481-nucleotide ribosomal RNA is filed under the name uncultured bacterium. Its description in RNAcentral is "partial 16S ribosomal RNA". It matches the Rfam family "Bacterial small subunit ribosomal RNA", at positions 28 to 507 of the family's 1533-position model. The record is from RNAcentral.
GAUGAACGCUGGCGGCGUGCCUAACACAUGCAAGUCGAACGGAGAUUACGGACGGAAGUUUUCGGAUGGAAGCCUGUACUUCUUAGUGGCGGACGGGUGAGUAACGCGUGGGCAACCUGCCCUAUACAGGGGGAUAGCAGCUGGAAACGGCUGGUAAGACCGCAUAAGUCGGUUAAAUCGCAUGAUUUGAUCGGGAAAUGAGCAAUCAGGUAUAGGAUGGGCCCGCGUCCGAUUAGCCAGUUGGCAGGGUAAAAGCCUACCAAAGCGACGAUCGGUAGCCGGACUGAGAGGUCGGACGGCCACGUUGGGACUGAGACACGGCCCAAACUCCUACGGGAGGCAGCAGUGGGGGAUAUUGCACAAUGGAGGAAACUCUGAUGCAGCGACGCCGCGUGAGUGAAGAAGUAUUUCGGUAUGUAAAGCUCUAUCAGCAGGGAAGAUGAUGACGGUACCUGACGAAGAAGCCCCGGCUAACUACGUG